Non-coding RNA from Maylandia zebra (zebra mbuna), 849 nucleotides. The record is from RefSeq and is a predicted model, not a curated record. NCBI's taxonomy places the organism in Eukaryota, Metazoa, Chordata, Actinopteri, Cichliformes, Cichlidae.
GGACUAUGUUUAGGUGUGAGCACUACAGCUGCAGCACAGCUGUGGACUCCACCCUGAUGAUUGUUUGAUUUACUUUCCUUUUAUUGGUUCUGCUGAGUCAUUGGACGUUCCAGUAGAAACAACGGACGGAGGAAUGUGAGCUAUGCAGCUCUCUGAUUGGUUGGAGAGAGAGCGCGUCACCAGAGUUACUUACGCUCUAGUGUCUUGUUGCGCUGCAGAGUACAGGCUGUUGUUCCUGCACGUGGCGUGUUAUUCACACUUGUAAAAUCUCCAGCUGUGACAUAUGAAGAAUAAGACGUGACAGUAGAGCGACACAGAGUCUUUAUCCUCACAGUGCAGCGGUGGAUUCAGCCUGUUUAAGCAGGAGGAGCAGUGAGUCCUGAGGCUGUGCUACCAACCAGGAUUUCAUCUGAUCCAGGACAACCUGAGAUGGAUACUUGCAAAUCUGUGAUAUUCUGCUGGAUUCUGCUCGUCUGCUUUUCACCGGCUGCAUAUACAGACCAGAAAAACAUCACAGCUGAGUCUGGACAUGACGUCACUCUGACAUGUCGAGCUCCAAACAACAACAUCAUUGUUGUUGUAGAGUGGAGCAGAGCUGAUCUGAAGGAAGAUUAUGUCCUCUUGUACCGGGAUGAGCAGAUUGAUCCAGAACAGCAGCAUCCAUCUUUUAUGAACCGGGUGGAUCUGCAGGACAGACAGAUGAAGGAUGGAGACGUGUCUUUGAUUCUGAAGAAUGUGACGACUGCUGAUAAUGGAACAUAUGAGUGUCGUGUCUUCAUGAGAGGAGCAAACCGCAGGAAGAGAGCUCAUCUGAAGACUAAGCCAAUCACCACCAUCAGCUUAAAUGUU